GGGGGCGGCCGGAGGGUCGCCUUCCGGACGCGGCUUUCGGGCCGCUCCGGGGGGAGGAACUUCCGAACUCCUCAGGACACGGUGCCUGUCGAAAGGCAGGACGGCGUGGGCGAAAGCCCCCGCCGAUGGAAAGUGCCACAGAAAACAUACCGCCCCGGCGCGUGCCGGGGUAAGGGUGAAAAGGCGUCGGUAAGAGCGCACCGCUCCGGGGGCGACCCCGGGGGCUAGGCAAACCCCACCGGGAGCAAGGCAUAGGGCGGCAUACGCGGUCCGCGUCCUGUCGCAAGACGGGAACCGUCCGGUAGCUGCAUCAGAGAAAUGAUCCUCCACCGGCCGCAAGGCCGGGGACAGAAUUCGGGGUACAGGCCGCCCCCCGUC
This 378-nucleotide RNase P RNA is filed under the name Elusimicrobia bacterium GWA2_69_24. RNAcentral's name for it is "RNase P RNA component class A". It matches the Rfam family "Bacterial RNase P class A". From Rfam's summary of the family: Ribonuclease P (RNase P) is a ubiquitous endoribonuclease, found in archaea, bacteria and eukarya as well as chloroplasts and mitochondria. RNAcentral also lists the same sequence under 1 other name. The record is from RNAcentral. Lineage: Bacteria; Pseudomonadati; Elusimicrobiota.